Molecule: ribosomal RNA, 441 nt
Filed under: uncultured bacterium
Lineage: Bacteria
Description: partial 16S ribosomal RNA
Rfam family: Bacterial small subunit ribosomal RNA
Source: RNAcentral
CCUACGGGGGUCAGCAGUGGGGAAUAUUGCACAAUGGGGGAAACCCUGAUGCAGCGACGCCGCGUGGGUGACGAAGUAUUUCGGUAUGUAAAGCCCUAUCAACAGGGAAGAAGAUGACAGUACCUGACUAAGAAGCCCCGGCUAACUACGUGCCAGCAGCCGCGGUAAUACGUAGGGGGCAAGCGUUAUCCGGAUUUACUGGGUGUAAAGGGAGCGUAGGUGGCUUGGCCAGCCAGAAGUGAAAACCCGGGGCUUAACCCCGGAGAUUGCUUUUGGAACUGGCGGGCUGGAGUGCAGGGGGGGCAGGCGGAAUUCCUGGUGUAGCGGUGAAAUGCGUAGAUAUGAGGAAGAACCCCGAUGGCGAAGGCGGCCUGCUGGAGUGUAACUGACACUGAGGCUCGAAAGCGUGGGGAGCGAACAGGAUUAGAUACCCGGGUAGUC